RNAcentral lists this transfer RNA (87 nucleotides) under Planctomycetota bacterium. Its description in RNAcentral is "Planctomycetes bacterium (bioreactor metagenome) tRNA-Leu". It matches the Rfam family "tRNA". Rfam says of the family: Transfer RNA (tRNA) molecules are approximately 80 nucleotides in length. Their secondary structure includes four short double-helical elements and three loops (D, anti-codon, and T loops). Further hydrogen bonds mediate the characteristic L-shaped molecular structure. tRNAs have two regions of fundamental functional importance: the anti-codon, which is responsible for specific mRNA codon recognition, and the 3' end, to which the tRNAs corresponding amino acid is attached (by aminoacyl-tRNA synthetases). tRNAs cope with the degeneracy of the genetic code in two manners: having more than one tRNA (with a specific anti-codon) for a particular amino acid; and 'wobble' base-pairing, i.e. permitting non-standard base-pairing at the 3rd anti-codon position. Lineage: Bacteria; Pseudomonadati; Planctomycetota. The record is from RNAcentral.
GCCCAGGUGGCGAAAUUGGUAGACGCGCCAGCUUGAGGGGCUGGUGGGAAUUAUUCUCCCGUGGAGGUUCGAGUCCUCUCCUGGGCA